RNAcentral lists this ribosomal RNA (250 nucleotides) under uncultured bacterium. RNAcentral's name for it is "partial 16S ribosomal RNA". It matches the Rfam family "Bacterial small subunit ribosomal RNA", at positions 524 to 773 of the family's 1533-position model. The record is from RNAcentral.
UACGUAGGGUGCAAGCGUUAAUCGGAAUUACUGGGCGUAAAGCGUGCGCAGGCGGUUCGGAAAGAAAGAUGUGAAAUCCCAGAGCUCAACUUUGGAACUGCAUUUUUAACUACCGGACUAGAGUGUGUCAGAGGGGGGUGGAAUUCCGCGUGUAGCAGUGAAAUGCGUAGAGAUGCGGAGGAACACCGAUGGCGAAGGCAGCCCCCUGGGAUAACACUGACGCUCAUGUACGAAAGCGUGGGUAGCAAAC